This 253-nucleotide ribosomal RNA is filed under the name uncultured bacterium. Its description in RNAcentral is "partial 16S ribosomal RNA". It matches the Rfam family "Bacterial small subunit ribosomal RNA", at positions 524 to 776 of the family's 1533-position model. The record is from RNAcentral.
UACGGGGGGGGCAAGCGUUGUUCGGAAUUACUGGGCGUAAAGGGUUUGUAGGCGGCUUGUUAAGUCAGAUGUGAAAUCCCUCAGCUUAACUGGGGAACUGCGUCUGAUACUGGCGAGCUUGAGUGCAGGAGAGGAACGCGGAAUUCCAGGUGUAGCGGUGAAAUGCGUAGAUAUCUGGAGGAACACCGGUGGCGAAGGCGGCGUUCUGGACUGCAACUGACACUGAGAAACGAAAGCCAGGGUAGCAAACGGG